Molecule: long non-coding RNA, 628 nt
Organism: Podarcis raffonei (Aeolian wall lizard)
Lineage: Eukaryota; Metazoa; Chordata; Lepidosauria; Squamata; Lacertidae
Exons: 3
Source: RefSeq, a predicted model, not a curated record
GUGCAGUGAGGGUCAUGGCUAACUGGGCCUGUUGGACCUCUUGUCAUGGAGAAGAGCUUAAGGCCCGGGAGCCCGGGAAGACAAAAGCUUACCAAGCUCAGUACAGAAGGAACAGAGCUCAGAAUACCAUGAGGAGACAGAGCUCAGCAGGUCAUGAGGAGACUCACUGGAUCGACAAACCCUGAGGCCACAAACUGGGAGAAAUGGCGCUCCAGAGCGACUGGGGCUGAGGCCUCAGUCCAAGCAAAGGAGCUUCCCUUUUGCUUUUGCUUCAAAGGUUGUCUCACCCAAUAUGCCUUCCUCUCUUUCUGACCCAAAAAAGCAGGCAAAAAAACCACAUCCACCAGCAAACAAAGCAAGGGUGUGUGUGCACACGUGCAUGCGCAUUGGAACAAAAAAAGGCGGGAAAACAGAACACAGAGGGAAUCUGAGUAAAGGAAAGGAGAUUAAGGGCAACUGAUAUCAGCGGAGCCAAGAAGAGAUUUGGAGAAGGCAAAUAAAGAAAAGAUCGCGAAGAAAAGUGAGUAAACCUGACAGAAAAAACAGAAGUGACCUGCUCAUUGCAGGCAGGAGCGGAAAAGUGAUGGGGAGCCAAUCACGUCCCUGAAGAAUUUUGCUCCUGCCUUGU